This 465-nucleotide ribosomal RNA is filed under the name uncultured bacterium. RNAcentral describes it as "partial 16S ribosomal RNA". It matches the Rfam family "Bacterial small subunit ribosomal RNA", at positions 29 to 523 of the family's 1533-position model. The record is from RNAcentral.
AGUGAACGCUGGCGGCGUGCUUAACACAUGCAAGUCGAACGGGGUAGCAAUACCUAGUGGCGCACGGGUGAGUAAUAUAUAGCUAACCUGCCCUUUAGUAGGGGACAACAGUUGGAAACGACUGCUAAUACCCUAUACUCCUUUUUAACUCAAGUUAAAUCGGGAAAGUUUUUUCGCUAAAGGAUGGGGCUGUAUCGUAUCAGCUAGUUGGUGGGGUAACGGCCUACCAAGGCUAUGACACGUAGCUGGUCUGAGAGGAUGAUCAGCCACACUGGAACUGAGACACGGUCCAGACUCCUACGGGAGGCAGCAGUGAGGAAUAUUGCACAAUGGGGGAAACCCUGAUGCAGCAACGCCGCGUGGAGGAUGACACAUUUCGGUGCGUAAACUCCUUUUAAGAGGGAAGAAAUUUGACGGUACCUCUUGAAUAAGCACCGGCUAACUCCGUGCCAGCCGCCGCCGUAA